Molecule: ribosomal RNA, 896 nt
Filed under: uncultured Lactobacillus sp.
Lineage: Bacteria; Bacillati; Bacillota; Bacilli; Lactobacillales; Lactobacillaceae
Description: bacterial SSU rRNA
Rfam family: Bacterial small subunit ribosomal RNA
Source: RNAcentral
CCGGAGAAGUGCAUCGGAAACUGGGAGACUUGAGUGCAGAAGAGGACAGUGGAACUCCAUGUGUAGCGGUGAAUGCGUAGAUAUAUGGAAGAACACCAGUGGCGAAGGCGGCUGUCUAGUCUGUAACUGACGCUGAGGCUCGAAAGCAUGGGUAGCGAACAGGAUUAGAUACCUGGUAGUCCAUGCCGUAAACGAUGAGUGCUAAGUGUUGGAGGGUUUCCCCCUUCAGUGCUGCAGCUAACGCAUUAAGCACUCCGCCUGGGGAGUACGACCGCAAGGUUGAAACUCAAAGGAAUUGACGGGGGCCCGCACAAGCGGUGGAGCAUGUGGUUUAAUUCGAAGCUACGCGAAGAACCUUACCAGGUCUUGACAUCUUCUGCCAAUCUUAGAGAUAAGACGUUCCCUUCGGGGACAGAAUGACAGGUGGUGCAUGGUUGUCGUCAGCUCGUGUCGUGAGAUGUUGGGUUAAGUCCCGCAACGAGCGCAACCCUUAUUAUCAGUUGCCAGCAUUCAGUUGGGCACUCUGGUGAGACUGCCGGUGACAAACCGGAGGAAGGUGGGGAUGACGUCAAAUCAUCAUGCCCCUUAUGACCUGGGCUACACACGUGCUACAAUGGACGGUACAACGAGUCGCGAAGUCGUGAGGCUAAGCUAAUCUCUUAAAGCCGUUCUCAGUUCGGAUUGUAGGCUGCAACUCGCCUACAUGAAGUUGGAAUCGCUAGUAAUCGCGGAUCAGCAUGCCGCGGUGAAUACGUUCCCGGGCCUUGUACACACCGCCCGUCACACCAUGAGAGUUUGUAACACCCAAAGCCGGUGAGAUAACCUUCGGGAGUCAGCCGUCUAAGGUGGGACAGAUGAUUAGGGUGAAGUCGUAACAAGGUAACCAAGGGCGAAUC